GCAUAUCAAUAAGCGGAGGAAAAGAAACCAACAGGGAUUGCCCCAGUAACGGCGAGUGAAGCGGCAAGAGCUCAAAUUUGAAAGCUGGCUCCUUCGGGGUCCGCAUUGUAAUUUGCAGAGGAUGUUUCGGGAGCGGCUCCCAUCUAAGUGUCCUGGAACGGACCGUCAUAGAGGGUGAGAAUCCCGUAUGGGAUGGGGUGCCCGCGCCCGUGUGAAACUCCUUCGACGAGUCGAGUUGUUUGGGAAUGCAGCUCUAAAUGGGUGGUAAAUUUCAUCUAAAGCUAAAUAUUGGCCGGAGACCGAUAGCGCACAAGUAGAGUGAUCGAAAGAUGAAAAGCACUUUGAAAAGAGAGUUAAAAAGCACGUGAAAUUGUUGAAAGGGAAGCGUUUGCGAUCAGACUCGCCGACGGGGUUCAGCCUGCCUUCGGGCAGGUGUACUUCCCCGCCGGCGGGCCAGCGUCGGUUUGGGCGGCCGGUCAAAGGCCCUGGGAAUGUAACGCCUCUCGGGGCGUCUUAUAGCCCAGGGUGUCAUGCGGCCUGCCCGGACCGAGGAACGCGCUUCGGCUCGGACGCUGGCAUAAUGGUCGUAAACGACCCGUCUUGAAACACGGACC
This 614-nucleotide ribosomal RNA is filed under the name Penicillium sp. JCM 28143. RNAcentral's name for it is "eukaryotic LSU rRNA". It matches the Rfam family "Eukaryotic large subunit ribosomal RNA", at positions 38 to 667 of the family's 3401-position model. The record is from RNAcentral. Lineage: Eukaryota; Fungi; Ascomycota; Eurotiomycetes; Eurotiales; Aspergillaceae.